RNAcentral lists this ribosomal RNA (440 nucleotides) under uncultured bacterium. Its description in RNAcentral is "partial 16S ribosomal RNA". It matches the Rfam family "Bacterial small subunit ribosomal RNA", at positions 338 to 795 of the family's 1533-position model. The record is from RNAcentral.
CCUACGGGAGGCAGCAGUAGGGAAUAUUGCUCAAUGGGGGAAACCCUGAAGCAGCAACGCCGCGUGGAGGAUGGAGGUUUUCGGCUUGUAAACUCCUUUUGUUAGAGAAGAUAAUGACGGUAUCUAACGAAUAAGCACCGGCUAACUCCGUACCAGCAGCCGCGGUAAUACGGAGGGGGCAAGCGUUACUCGGAAUCACUGGGCGUAAAGAGCGCGUAGGCGGGAUAGUAAGUCAGAUGUGAAAUCUUAUGGCUUAACCAUAGAAUUGCAAUUGAAACUGGUAUUCUUGAGUAUGGGAGAGGUAGGUGGAAUUCGUGGUGUAGGGGUAAAAUGCGUAGAGAUCAAGAAGAAUACUGAUUGCGAAGGCGACCUGCUAGAACAUAACUGACACUGAUGCGCGAAAGCGUGGGGAGUAAACAGGAUUAGAUACCCCUGUAGUC